Pezoporus flaviventris is the source of this 2863-nucleotide long non-coding RNA. RefSeq lists it as uncharacterized. NCBI's taxonomy places the organism in Eukaryota, Metazoa, Chordata, Aves, Psittaciformes, Psittacidae. The record is from RefSeq and is a predicted model, not a curated record. The transcript is spliced from 3 exons.
CUGGGCUGCUGGCACAUGCUGAUGCUGCACUUGCACCCACUGGCUUUGGUCAUGAGCAGUUAGUGAGAGAUGAUGCCCUGAUGUAAAUCCUGUUUCACUGGUGGGAUGAUUUAUAGAAAAUAAACAGGAUCUUGAGCUGUCUUUUAGCUAACAUGGUAAAUUUUUACAUCCAGUAGUGUCCUUUGCCUCUGUACCCAGUGGCUGUCUGACCCAGUAUCUAACUCUUGAUUAAUGGAAACAUAUUUUUUAAAGUGAGGACUUUGGAAGUUUGGCUCUUGAUGAGCUUUUACAUUACCAGGCUAACAGCCAUGAAACAAAGCUGAAGAUUUCAGCAGUGUGGCACUUCAGGACUGACUCGUUGGCAGCUUCUUGCUGCUGUACAGGAGAUUAAGAAGAGCAAGGCAAGAGCUGGGAUGUGCACAAAAUGGCUGUUGGCUCUGCAGGCACUGAUGGACCUGCAAGGAUGAACUGCUUGGCCUCUGGCUGCUUGACAAGCUUCAGCCAUCCAAAGCCCCAGCUCUUCCCUCUGUUCUGCUGCAGCUUCAUAGACCCUGUAGCUGUUCAGUGGCUCUGUAAGUUACAGGGGAUGAAUAUGGACUUGUCUCCUAAAGAAGCUGAGAGCUAUGCUUGAGAGGAUCAUGAGCUUCAGCUUCCUCAGGACCGGGAGAGUCCUUUGAAGCUUCCACCUCACAGGUUCAUGUGGACAUUUGCCUGGGGCAGCCCUUAGGAAGUGAAUAUCCCUGAGCUUCCUUGGUCUUGCUGGAUGUGCUUGAAGGAAGGUGUCACAGCCUUAGUGCUUUGGAUAGUCAUUGUGGAAGCAUAAUAACGGGAACAUGUAACGGCACUAUUGAAGUCGAUAAGAAUUUUAUCAGAAGCAGAGCAAUUCCAAGCUCAUUUCCCUCCCGGUCAAAGGCAGCAGGUUGUGCCCAUUUCAUCGCUGUUUGGCAGAAAGAUUAAAGUAUCUCUGUCCGGGUUUGAGCAUUAACUUAGAGCUGAUCUUGCCUCUGGCAACCAAGAGCAGUUUCAAUGCGCAUGUUUUGAUAUACAUCCUGACUGCCUGCUUUACAAGUCAUGGUGUCUGAAGUCUUCCUAGGCUGCUAAUUGGUUCUUGGUGCCAGAUUGUCACUGGAAUCUGGUGUAUCAUCCAAGAGUCCCUCAUUUCUUGCUCACUCAGUGUCUACAGAAACCUGUGAAGCCAAAGGAGUCUCCUCAGGCAGUGAUCAUCAGCAGGUCUGCUUCUGUUACAGCUAUUUCUGUACCUCUGUUGGGCUCCUCCCCAUGGCACAGGUAUGCCUGGAGCUAGAGAAGUAGAGAGAAGCUACUAGUUUGGAUGGCUAAGACUUUGAGCAAGCAUUGCCACUGAAAGGAGUGGCCCUUUCUUUCUUGUACCUACACUGGCAUAGGUGUUUUUGGCUCCUUGUUCCUUCCUCUGUUCUCUCCCUCCUUGGGACUGUGUUAAGCGUCUGUGGGCCAUCAGCACACAGUGACCUGUACGGGGGAAGUCAUCAGCAGGGCUUUUGGAUGGCUGAUAUUUCAGUUGGGUCAGUUUUACAAACAGAUUUACUGCAUGACCGCAUGAAAGCUUUCUCUGAAGAAGUACAGUGAGAGAAAUGGGUGCUGGCUUAACCCAUGUCACUGACGUGCAGUUUAAGGCUGUGGUUUUCUGAUAGAGUGGGUCUAACUGCAGGCUGCUACUGCCCUGCUCUUAUCACGUCCCUUGCACUUUGCACUGGUGUUCGUCUGGGAACAGAAGUUCAGGGAACUAAAGCAACUGAAGCCAAAUAAGAAAAAAUUAACUUUCUAAACAGCUCAGCAUGAGGGCAGACUAGUGCCAGCACUGGGGUUAGGGAGGCUGCAGAACCAUAUGGUCAAGGAUGGAGAAACAGUGGCAGCAGCCACUGCUGGGUUUGCUCGCCCACCCUCGCAGUGCUUAAUUUGCCUAAACUCAACAUGGGCCAAGAAUUUGCUGGAUUCCCAUUAAGAAAUUUCAGACUCCAGCAGAAGACUGACUAUAAAAAUCAUGUUGAGUUUAAAAGCCCAGUGCACAUGUUGUUAUGAGAUAGGAACAGAAACUCUGCAAUUUGCCUGCAUUAUUUCCCUUUCAAGGUUUUUACCUUUCCUUCUGCAGUCUUGUCAGGUUAUUGUGCAUCAAUGGAGACAAAUGUUGAUAUUUCAUACGUUUUGAAAUUGUACUAUGAAAGUUAUACGACCAGCACACCACAGUGCUGCCAAUGUGCCAGCACUAGUUCAGAAUGUGCCCCUCGCCUUAAUUAUCAGCCCUGUAAUUUUACAGUCUUCCUAACAGUGCCUCCAUCCAGUAAGUGCAUUCGGAUCUCAAAGGUGCAUUUACGGGUAAUUAAAAAAUAUGCCUGAUUGGGUUCGCUAAUUCAGAGCAAAUAUAGAAGCUGGCUUACAUAUAACAAGGCCAUAAUUCCCCAUUUCCUUGCAAUUGUGUGGGUGAUUACAUGGGCCACCACAGCUGUGCUACAGGGAUUUGCAGGCAGAUGGGAGUUUUCUGGUUUCUGUGGAGAACCAGGGGACUGUCGGUUGUGCUGUGGGUAUUACAGUGGUGUUGGGCCCAUGUGUCUGUCUGCUGCUGCUGCAGAAAAUCUCGGUUGGGAUGCAGUUUGGGUGCAGGCUGUUUGGGUGAGGGUGCCUCUGGUGUAUUUAAGGCAGCAAACACAAAGAUUCUCACUUGAAGAUUUAAAUGAAUGGAAAACUUGGAACUAAAUGACCAGUCAGAGCAAAAACCAACACCACCUGAGGGAUGGUGAUAGCAAAGGUGGGAGCUUGAAAGUGAAGAUAAGCACAGUAACACUGUGUUUGAAGGGACAGAAGAAGGGGAGGCAGUGGAAGGAAUAAG